Molecule: long non-coding RNA, 3600 nt
Organism: Gossypium raimondii (Peruvian cotton)
Lineage: Eukaryota; Viridiplantae; Streptophyta; Magnoliopsida; Malvales; Malvaceae
Exons: 3
Source: RefSeq, a predicted model, not a curated record
CGUGAUGGUGGGGAAAUUUCAAAGCUGUCAGUGGAAGAAAACCUAGGUGAGGUCCAUGUUCUGUCAACGAAUGGGAAAUUUCCUAUCAUGGUAGAGAAGAUUAGAAUUACUACUCUAAACUCAUAAUCCCAUUCGGUAGUCAACUUUGUUGAAAACUGAAAUCCUAAUAGUUCUAGAGAUAUUGUGAAUUCUUGAAAUAAAUUAUAGGAGUUAGAAGAACCCCAUAAUAGCUGUUUCUUCUCGAAAUUGGGUAAGCAAAAAAGGGAUAAGAAAACAAUUAAUAUUCUUAAAGGAAAAGGGAGCAGAUUUAAGAUUAAGGCCCCGAGUCGCGUACCAGUAGUUGAAGCCAUGAACAUGGUUGCGAACAAAAUUGGGAAUGAAGUUUCGAAGGCUAAUUCGGGUUGUAAUCAUGGGAGUAUAUCACCAAGUAAAUAAUGGCGCCAAUCUGGAGGGUUGAAAAUCAACGGGACAAAGGCUGAUGGUAUUAUUGCGAAAAUUGGGAUGGAUCGAUCACAUCGGAUUGAAGCUCGAAGCUUUGCUGGGGGUGUAUGGGUUUGUUGGAACAAUAAUGUUUAGAUUAAUAUUCUCAUGAAUGACCCACAAUUUGUCCACUGUCGUUUGAAAAUGGUAAAGGGUUCCUCGGAUAUACUGGUGACUUUUGUUUAUGGGUUUCCUGAUAAGUAGAGGUGCAAGAUUUUAUGGGAUAAACUUAAUAUUCUUGCUAAGUCUGUAGUUAAACCCUGGGUUUUGCUUGGCGAUUUCAAUUUUGUUAUAUUUCCAGAGGAAAAGAGAAGGGGUCUCCCUAUUUAUUCCGAGUGCAAAUUAUUUUAUAAUUUUGUGCAGAAUAAUGAGUUAAGGGAUAUUGUCUUUAAGGGACCCCAAUUUACUUGUAGAAGAGGGGGGAUCUUUGAGAGGCUUGACAAGGUCAUUGGAAAUAGUAUUUGGUGUCAGGCUUUCCCAAAGGCAACUGUGCUCCACUUCCCUCAUUUAAAAUCAUAUCAUAAACUUAUAUUAUUAUCAUUAAAUUCCAUCAAAAAAGUUUGAGUUGAUAGGCCUUCUCGUUUCCAAGACCCUUGGGUUAGUCAUCCAUCGUUUUCACAAUUUGUUCAUGAAAAUUAGAGUAAUGGGGUGGAUUUAGUUAGUAAUAUUAGGACUAUCACUAUGAAACUAAAAAAUUGGAACUUAGAGGUUUUUGGUCAUAUUGUUAGAAGAAAGAGCUUGCUUGCUCUUCGCAUCGAUAAGAUCCAAGCUACUUUAGACCAAAAGUGUUCUAGAUUUCUUAUGGAUCUUGAAUGUAAGUUGCAUGUUGAGUGCGGAAAGUUCAUUGAUAAGGAAGAAUUAUUUUAGAAACAAAAAUCGAGAGUGGAUUGGAUCUAUUUUGGUGACCGAAAUACGAAAUUCUUCCAUAAUAGAGCACUUGUUAGGCAAAAUUCUGAAAGGAUUUUUGCUUUAAAGGUUGGGGGUCAAUGGUGUUAUGACAGUGAAGCCCUUCAAAAGGAAGCGGUCAGAAGUGGAUGUUGAUCAAGCAAGGAUUAUAAAGGAUGUCCUUAACACUUUUGGAGCUACCUCGGGCCAUUAAGUCAAUGGCCUUAAAACUAAUGUAUUCUUUUCCAGCAAUAUUGGUUCCAACUAUGCUAAUGUUAUUUAUAGUGUUCUUGGUUUUCAGCAGACUGACAAUUUGGGGAUAUAUUUGGAAUUGCCUUUUUUUAACCGAUGAAUAAUGAUGAAUACCUUCAGAUUCAUUGUAGACAAGGUCAGACGAAAGCUAGAUAAUUGGAAUGCCAAAACGCUUUCUGUGGUGGGACGAGUAACUUUAGCUCAGUCAAUUUUGUUAUCAAUUCCCAAUUAUUUUAUGCAAGCUGUGAAAAUCUCAUCUAGCAUUUGUGUAAAAAUUGAGAAGAUUUCCCCGAGAUUUAUAUUGGGAAAUUUUGAAGCUAAUCGGAAAUCGUCUUUGGCAAGGUAGAGGGAUUGAUGUUAACCUCUGCCUAAUAGGGGAUUAGGUAUUCGAUGCCGUAAAGAACAUAAUGAGUCAUUUAUGCUUAAGUUGGGAUUUAACCUCCUAACUAGUGAGCAAGCUUUGUGGGUAAGGUACUCCAAUCUAAGUAUAAAAUAUUGAAAGAAUGCCCUGAGGAUAUUUCCCGAAGAAAAUAUUCUUUCAUUUGGAGAUCUUUUGCGAAGGUCUAGCCCCUCCUGCAUCAAAGUCUUCUUUGGUCAGUUAGUGAUGGGAAUCUCAUCAAAUUUUGGACUAAUAAUUGGAUAGUAGAUGUGGGCCCCUCUUAUUAACCAUUGUUUGGCUCAUUCCUUGAUUGAUGAGUCUAUUACACUUCGAGAGGUUGUGAAUACAGAUGGAAACUGGAAUAGAGAGUAUAUGCGGUGUUUUUUGAAUGAAGAUAUUUUAUCUUAUAUUGGAGGUAUUCUUACUCCAAAUACUUUAGUAGGAACUAAUGGAGUUAUAUCGAGUUGGGUUUCCAAUGGUAAAUUCAGUAUUAAAGCAGCUUAUGGUGUGCUUAUAAAAAAAACUCAUUAAAUCUGUCAGAGGUGAAAAGGAAGCUUGUUUGGUCUUUGAAUGUUCCACAACGUGUUCGUCAUUUUAUUUGGUUAUUGUUUAAGGGACACAUUUUUACUAAUGCGGAACGAUGUAUGAGAGGCUUAUCAGAAGAUCCUCCAUGCAAGCUUUGUAGGAAUGUUGAAUAAUCUUGUCUUCUUGUGUUACAAGAUUAUUGUAAAGCAAAAAAAGUGUGGAAGUAGUUAAUUCCCUCGAGGAGUUCGAUCCGAUUUUUCUCUUCUUCUUUGGAGGAAUAAGUGUCUAUAUGUUUGAUGUUGUUUUCCAGGAUUCAGACUGGCCUUCUCUAUUUAGGAUUAAUUUUUGAAGGAUUUGGAAACAGAGAAAUUUGUGUGUAUCCCAAGGUGUUCCAUUCAACAUAUCUACUAUGAUCUAGUCUUCGUGGUGGUGAGCAAGAGCCAUUAAGUAGGGGCAUCUCAAUUUAGGGGGGAGUAAUGUGAAGCAAUUCAGGGACCAAAGACGGGUUCCAUUGCCUACUAGGUUCUUUAAAAUAAAUACAAAUAGUGCUCGUAAUCUAAAUUCAGGUCUUGCUUGGUCAGUUGCAGUGGCCUGUGAUGAGCAUGGUAGAUGGAUGUGGAGACUAGGAAGAAAUGUUGGCCGAUGUAGUGUGAUACAAGCUGAGUUUUGGGCUAUUUAUGAUGGCCUCCAAUUAGCUUAGAAGGAUAAAUGGGUAAACGCUAUUAUUGAGACAAAUUAUUUUUUAUCUAUCAAAGGUAUUCAUGGAGAUUAAAUAGGACAUUCAAAUGGAGAUUUGAUUUUGCGUAUUCAAGAACUUUGCAAUCGCAAGUAGAAAGUGCUCAUAAAGCAAGUACCUAUAGAGGUGAACUCUACUGUUGAUACUUUAGCUGAUCUGACGAAAGAUUUUCCUAUUGGUGCGAGAAUUUUUCAUGUGGCUCAUCCAUCGGUUGAUGAUCAGAUACGACUUGACAGAUGUUUUUGGUUAUCUAACUCUAAUCUUGUUAACUAGCAAUUAAUGCUAUUUAUAUCUUGUUACAAAAAAAAAUCAUAAAUAAUAUGUUUCAUCAAAUUGCAAACAA